Molecule: ribosomal RNA, 830 nt
Filed under: Chlamydonellopsis calkinsi
Lineage: Eukaryota; Ciliophora; Phyllopharyngea; Chlamydodontida; Lynchellidae
Description: partial small subunit ribosomal RNA
Rfam family: Bacterial small subunit ribosomal RNA (bases 292-830)
Source: RNAcentral
UACAUGAGUAAUUAGUAUUAUUCGUAUAAAUUGGGUUUAAAUAUAUUUAGUUAUUAUACUUUACUAAAUUAAUUUUUAUACUGUAUAAUUUAUUAAUUCUUUAAUGGAAAAGUUUAAUUUAUUUUUAAUAGCGAUAAAAUGUUAAUAUUAAAACAAAAUUUAUUAGUUUGAAAAAAAAAUUUUACUUAAAGAUUUAACUAAAUAUGAAAGUAUAAUUAUCGAAGAGGAUUAGAGACCCUUGUAGUUUAUACCGUCAAAUAUGAUAAGCAUAAAAAAAGUGACUUAUUAACCUGGGGAGUACUAUUGCAAAAUAUAAACUUAAAGAAAUUGGCGGGAUUUUAUACAAAUGGUGGAAUAUGUGGUUUAAUGCGAUAAUCCUCGCAAAAUCUUACUAGUACAUUAAUUAUUAAAGUAUAUUAUUAUUUAUUUUUAACAAUUAAUAGGUAUUGCAUGGCUGUCGUCAGUUCGUGCUCUAAGGUGUAGGAUUAAUUUCUUUUAAACGAACGAAACUCUAAAUUUUUAGAAUAAAGUCAAGUCUUUAUGGUCUGUAUAUACUAGGCUACACACGUAUUACAUUUAAAAAUAAUUAUUAUUAGUUUUUAACAACUAAAGAAUAUAAAAAAAUUAAUAAAUGAAGUAUUUUUUGUUAUUCAAAAAUAUGAAAUAGGAAUCAUUAGUAAUCAUAAAAUAGUAUGUUAUGGUGAAUUGUUAUUAAAAUUUGCACACACCGCCCAUCACGCUCAGAGAAUUUUAUUGAAUUAAGUAUGGUUUUUUUAUAAAUUUAUAUAGUAAAAAAAUUUGCGAUAUUUAUUAAGAUAAUUAGAGUGAAG